Trifolium pratense (red clover) is the source of this 469-nucleotide long non-coding RNA. RefSeq lists it as uncharacterized. The transcript is spliced from 2 exons. The record is from RefSeq and is a predicted model, not a curated record. Lineage: Eukaryota; Viridiplantae; Streptophyta; Magnoliopsida; Fabales; Fabaceae.
UUCACAAGUACUAAAAACUAUUUAAUUAUAUAUAGGAGAGUAUGAACUUUAUACAAUAUAAAGAGAUCGAAUUAAUGUACCCAAAAAAAAAAAAAGAGAUCGAAUUAUAUUCUAAAUGUUACAUGCAAAAGGAAAAAAUAUGCUUGAAAUUCAAAAGUUUGCCUAUGCUUUGAUUUUAUUAUUUUCCUUACUUUUUGUUGCAGCGAAAUUUGACGAUUAUUAUCAUGAACCAUAUUGUGAAGAUGAUGCCGAUUGUGAACAAGUUUGGAACAUGUAUUAUGUUUGUAAGUGCAUUAAUGAAAGAUGUAAAUGGGUUAAAAAGCCUCUUUGAUUCUAUGAGUAUUAAACUCAAUAGAUUAGAAAAACACCCUACAAAGAAGAAUAAGUUAAUUAUUGUGUGGCAUAUUAAUGUGCAACAUACAUUUUGAUAGAAUUAGUUAUUAUAUAUGCAUUCAAUAAUUUUAUUUUA